AAACAACUCGUCGACAUAUUUACGAAGCCCUUGUCUACUUCUCAAUUACCAUUCUGCGUACCAAUCUUCAAAACCAUCAAAAGGAUGCUCAGAGUGUAGGAGGAUGUUAGCGUGUUAUAUGUAUUACGUAUUUUUAGGCUUUGGUUGGUUCGAGAACUAAAUUCUAGAUGAUGCUUUUUAUUGUUUCUGAGAAUAAGGGAUACUCUAGUACAAGCUAGAACAAGUAUAAAUUGCGUUUGGAUUUAAUCGGGGAUAUUCUGAAGGAUAUUCUUAAUAGCGUUUGGAUAAAAGUCUAGAACAAUUUUUAAAUAUGUUUAAAAAAAAUAAAAGAAAUUAAUAUGUUUUAUAGAAAAUUAUACAUAAAAUAUUGU
This 371-nucleotide long non-coding RNA is filed under the name Ananas comosus (pineapple). RNAcentral describes it as "long non-coding RNA (ACOM_LNC031484)". Lineage: Eukaryota; Viridiplantae; Streptophyta; Magnoliopsida; Poales; Bromeliaceae. The record is from RNAcentral.